Numida meleagris (helmeted guineafowl) is the source of this 5791-nucleotide long non-coding RNA. RefSeq lists it as uncharacterized. The record is from RefSeq and is a predicted model, not a curated record. Lineage: Eukaryota; Metazoa; Chordata; Aves; Galliformes; Numididae. The transcript has 6 exons.
CUUGAGCCUCUCCUCAGGAGAUAGGAUAGAGGGCUCCUGGUCAACUUAAUGGGAAACCUGAAUGAACGGAUGGAACCAAACCACCUGGUUAUGCUCCAUAAAUGAUGGGAGCAUGAGCAAUGGUCUACCACAGUGCUGUUGGCCUGCCUCUUAGACACCAGUCUUCUUCAGCCUGUCACCUUUCCUCUUCUCAAGAUGUUAUGUGCUGGGGUUGUGCUAUCCUCCUGCAACCAGGAAGGAUGCUUUGCUGGAUCCUGAUUCACACUAUACAACUUUCUAGAGAACAGUGCUGGAGACAGAAGGAGCCUGAGGCCUGGCAGUAAAUCGCCCAGGAAACCUCUAUGGUAGACAGCCAUUUGUCGGAGGCAGAAAACUGAAGCUGUGAACAGACACAAUCAUCUAUAUUCAUCAAGAAGCCUGUCACCCACAGUGUCUGAAAGACAGCAGCGGAAAUAAGGACUGCUAAGAACACAGUGAUCCUUCCAACAUUACUGAGCCAUUCAGGCUUACAGCUGUUGAACGUGAGCGCAAGCAGAGUUGAACAGUGGCAAGACAGCCUUCUCAAAGCUUUCUGUAUUGGGAACAGCACACUGCUUCCUUGCAGCUCUGGCGAUGACUUCUCAGCACAGCAGAAUAGAUAAUUUUGGCCCAUGAGUACUCUCAGCAUUACAGACGCAUUUUACAAUUUUGUUGCUUCUAGCUAUUACGUUAUUUCCAUAUUAGCCUCUUUCUACAUACCAGCCAGAGCAAAAGAAAAAAGAAAGGCCCAAAGAAGUUGUUUCAAAAAACAUUUGUGAUGCAGCCAGGAAAAAACACAGGACACCUUGCCUCAUGAAUUCUGUAUCUGUGAGUUGUGCCAGGCAAGAAACAAGAUUCAGUAUGCUUUUAUACUUCACGUUGUCAAAACUCAUUGAAAAUUAAUACGAAUAAUAUUUUUAACUCUGCAUGUGUAUGGGAACUGCUGAGUCACGGCCUGAACCACUGAUUGAGCACCUGGAGGAAAGACCCAGUCAGCCCUGGGAGCACAGGUGAAGGCAAUUCACCUCUGUGACCGGAAGGGGUGGAGCCUGGCUCCACCACUGUUAGGCCUCAUUUAAGGGCUGACUGCCACUAAGGAAGGAUCUUUUUCUGGAGAUCCCUGCUCGGUGGAAUUUUUCCCUGCAAACUUAUAAUCUUCUGAUUCGGAUGGGUGAUCUACUUCCCUUCCCUUGUAGCUCUUUGCUAUCAUGCUGUUCCUUCCACCUCUUUUGUAACGUCUUUUCCGUCAUAUUGAUCUUUGUGAUCGCUACAGCGUGAUAGCAAGGGGUUUUAGAUGCGGUGUUUUGUAUUCAAAUGGAUUUUAAUGUAGUAUCAGAAAGAUUGUGAUAAAGGGCUUUACGAAUCUCCUAGUAUAUUAUGUGUAGAUGUUCCUAGAAGCUGGAAAAACUUCAAAAGGAAGUUAAGGUCAGUUUAAUUUAGCUACCUUUCCUAAGGUAAAAGAGCAUCUGAAUUAAAUAUAACGACCCGCCUCUUCCACGAGCAGCUUUGUGAGGUGGGAUUCUCCCAGAGCUCUGAAAACAGUCUUAGGGGAUUUCCUUGCUGGAUGAGUCCAGUGUGGAGGUUGUAUGAGCAAAUGCCUUAUAGGAAGGUAGAUCAGCGUCACUGCUUAAGAAGAUUAAUUCUUUAAAAGCUACUUAUGGGAGAGGUGAUCUUUUAUGUGUGAAUCAAAAGCAAUUAAUUAAAAUGGGUCAAUUAGCCUCUCAAAUACGACAUGCAUUCAGAGUUCUGGUUUUUAUGUAUUUACACAUGAAACUGUAAAAUAAAGGUGGGGGGGAGACCUAUGUGACUCAUAGAGGGCAGAAUGAAGAAGUAAAUAUAUCCUUCAGCUUCUGUUAGUCCCACGCUCAGGAACGUGUAUAUUCUGACAUAAUGGGUUCUGUCAUGGGUGUGUGCCACAGCAGCAGUCUGCAUCUGUGCCAUCCUCUAGUGUAACAGAGCUAGAACAAACUGUGGAGGCAGGAAAAUGUGCAACUCAGUGCUGAAACAAAACAAUUUUUUAAGUGGAAGAGUCAAGCUCCAACUAUGUGACUGAAGAGGGAAUUGUAAGGAACUCAACUCUUUUUGAUCUUCCAAAUAAAUAUUGUGGCAUCAAUAGCAUGAGAACAGAAAGUCUUUAAAAUGUGAGGUUUUUGAAGGAGGCAACACAAACUAAAUUCUAGCACAGGUCCCUGGAAAGAAAAUGCAAACCCACCUAGACAAAAUUGGUUUUGCUGAGCCUAGCCUAAGUGCAGUGAUUUGAAUAAUGUCAGGCAUGCAAUAUAUUCUAAAGAACGGACUGAUGAGACCUAGAAAUCUUCUUUGUUCUAUCAGUCAACUUGAAAUGCAUUUCCUUUCAAAUGUGUCUAGAAUCCACACAAGAAUCAAUAUAUGUAAAUUCAGAGAUGAAAGCAAUAAUUCAUACUGGUAGGAAAGCAUAAUGCAUUGCUAGUAUGAAUGCCAAUCAUCCUCCAUAGGCUAUGAUGAAUAGGAAGUGUACAUGCACCUAAUCAAAACAGAACAUCUCAGAAUGCACAUGAUCCAUGAGUGAGAACUUUAGGUUUACAGUUUGCCUAUAAGCACACGGCAGAUACAAAGAAGGGCUAUGAUGCUGUAUUUAUGUUAACCAAAACUGGACAGUUUCAACGCUGCUUCCCCUGGCCCCAACACCAGUUUUUCCAGAAAUGCUGGGCUCAUAAGGAAAAGACCAGAAUCUAUACUGCCUAGGGUACAAGUGACUGAAAGGUAGUAUAGGUAGGUUUGGGUGCAUGCUAUUUUAUAACUGCCUGAUUUUUAAAGUGUUAAGCUUUACACCAGGGCUGACAGAUAGCUUGAUUUACUUUAUAGAAAUGAGAAGGUAAUUCUCAAAAAUAUAGAAUACUGAAUUACGUUAGAAAGAAACUAUCAAAAUGCUCCAUGUUUUACUAACAAUUGUUCCAAUAAUUGGAGCCAAAAUAUUAAAUGCUUUUUGUUGUUGUUUUCAGAGAUGAAAACAAUAGGAUAGAGAAGAGCAUGACACAAAGUAUAUCCAUGAGCUAGGCAAAUAUUUGCUAGUCAUUUAGUGGCACAACAGAGGGAAAGAUUUUUGAACUCUUUUCCUGGAUUUGGGCAAUAAAGCAUAGCCUUAUGAGGCAGGUGGAUAAGUAAGCACAUAGAUCUGGUGUACCUCAUCUAGAACGUAAUGCUUUUGCUUGACUGAGACUUGAAUUUGCAAUGUGGGAGCAUGGUCUCUACCAGGUAUUUCAGAAAAUUCCUCCUGCAGCUUCUUGGGAAACUCAUUUGGCUACAUGUUAUCGCACCAGUCUUGAGAUGUAGCACAGCUGGGUUUACUUCUUCACUGACAAAGGCAUCAAGCUGGCCAAGGUUAGGCUAGACUCACUGACAGUCUGGCCAGAAUGAAGCUCUGCCUCUCACCUGGACUUGUUUAAAUGGCAGAAGUGAGGUAAGUGUUGAACAGGCCUGAGUCACCAGCAAAUCUCAGAAGAGGUCAGCAGCAGAUAUUUGGGGCUAGUUGGAAUCAAUGGGAAGACUGAAUGAAUACAUCAAGUUUAGAAAAUGGUGCUGGUACAAACAAAAUGCAGCCAUUCUGGGGGGAAAAAAAAAUCACUUUUGCUAUUUUGAACUUCUGACUUGGAAAAUAGUGCCUAUCACCCUAAAUAAAAUAUACUGAAUGUAACACUAGGAAAAUUCUUCAGGUUCUGACUGAUGGUAUAGGAAGUAGAACAGACUUUGGCAGUUGGGGAAAUAAGCCAGAAAGCUCGCUUGUGUAUUUUCAACAACAGCUUAUAUAUUCUUUCCAGGAUGAUACUAUUGGUAAUCUAUCUUUUGGAUUUUUGGGAACAUAAUGUAUUCAUUCUCCUUUGAAAAAGGAUCACCAAAAAUAUCACUAAACGCUCCUUGUGGAAUGUGGUAAAGGGGAGCUUGAUGGAGAAGGGAGAGGUCUCUGACUGUGCCCCAACAGAAAAGGAUUGACUGAAACAGCUGUUCUGUGAAGCCAGCUGUGCGUACAACUUUAAUUCCCCCGCUUUUAUUUUAGACAGUGUAAGAGGUUUAUUUCUUAAUUGCUUUCACAAGAUGUUAGAACUGUUUGUAACAGCAAUUAUGGGGCAAUACCUGCAGCUGGUUCACUACAGACAACAAUACAGAUAUUUGUUUUCUGCCUGCGGUGCAGGUUGUUCAGAAUGCACAGCCCACUUGAAAAUGUUUUCAGUAAUCAAGAAAAAAAAAACCUCUUAUUUCUGAAAACUUCCUUGGGCAAUGGUUAAUUGCUGCCAACACUGUCUGUGGACAAGAGUCCCAGAACACAAGACAAGGUGAGUUACAGGAAUGCAUCAUUUAUAUCAUUCUCAAAAAUUUCAGAAAACAGAGCAGUGGUGGACUGGGAUCCACAGAGGCUGAGGCUACACAAACAGAAAAGCCUGGGCUGAAGAGUUAAGCUCAGCUCUGGCUUGAGGUGAAUUGUGGGCAGGACCAUUUCCUUCCAGUCUUGAAGAAAUAAACAUUUAGAGGAUUACACAUAGUGGAGGAAUUGCAGAGGCGCAGGCUUUGUAUUUAUGAUGUUGCAGAUCAGCACUGAGCUAACUCCCCAGCCAGAAAACACCCUGCAAAUGUCCACUGCCUAAAGGCUGGGAAUGAGAAUGGAACACCAAGGAUUCAAAGCCCUUGAGACAACUCAAUCCCUUCCAAUCCAGGCACUACAUAGCAAAUUCCCAUUUGAUACAUCACGUUGGCAAAAAGAGAAUCCCUCACUGAGAGACAGAACAAGGGCUGAGUGAUAAUACAGCUGUCAUUCCUGGCAUGAAGAAACACUUUCUUUAUCUUCUAGGAGUGAUUGUAUUUUCACUGUUAACAUUUCUGCCAGACUUCCUUUCAAAGAAGCAUCGAGACUAGGGUGGAAUAUUUUGUAGGAUACUUGCAGAGGAGACAGAAUGGUCCCAUCGUCCUCCAAUUUUUCCCCAAAAAAUUCAGAACAAAAGUAUGAUGGAGUAACAGAGUAAAGGAAGGCAUAAUUUAAGCACUGCGGUGCUUAAAUUCACCCAUGGAAAGAGCUAAUCCUUAGACAGUUGAUGGGGUGGUUUGCAGUCCCUCUGUGACAAAGGUCCCAAGCAUGGCUGUGGUCAGGAUGUGGACCUUGUUGAGGGGUAUGAUGCUGUAGAGUAUUAGCUAGCUUUUUCUUCCCAGACUUCAUAAAGCGGUUGAAAGUCAGAUUGCAGGUAGCAUUUCCUCCCUGGAGUCUUCUGAUGAGGUUGUUUAUUAUAAAGCAUUGCUUACUCUAGAAGAGACAAGCAUAUUGGUCCUGCAGGUCAAUAGUAAUGUACUUACAGAUUAUCUCAGUUGUUGAAAAUGAAAGAUGCAGACAUAAAACUGAAUGCCCUUAAUGACAGAAGGACUGAAAUACUGGGAUGUGGCUCCAUUUCUCUUUGCACUUCUCCUUUUCUCUCCUUGCCUUCAUCUUUCCUACUCUUAUGCAGACAGCUACAGUGAAUUUAGUCAAAUACACACUGACAAUACACACUGCCAGUUACCUGCUUUUGGAUGAUAGUUAUGUUAAGUCUAGACUUUUCUAUGAAGAUUUUUUUUCUUGCACAGAGACCAAGAAUGUGGUAUCUGAUUUUUUUUUUUUUUGUGAACUGACGUUCACAAUUUCAAAUAUUUCUUUGUUCCUAUGAUUCAUCAAACUAGUUUGAGUGAGUGGACCUUUUUACCCUAUAAUUUAAAAUGAAGGAUUUUGAAGGGCACCUGAAAUUUUCUCCAGCUUAAAAAAAAAAAAAAAAAA